Molecule: RNase P RNA, 370 nt
Filed under: Robiginitomaculum sp.
Lineage: Bacteria; Pseudomonadati; Pseudomonadota; Alphaproteobacteria; Maricaulales; Robiginitomaculaceae
Description: RNase P RNA component class A
Rfam family: Bacterial RNase P class A
About the family: Ribonuclease P (RNase P) is a ubiquitous endoribonuclease, found in archaea, bacteria and eukarya as well as chloroplasts and mitochondria.
Source: RNAcentral
CCAGAUGACAGGGCGGUCGCGGUGCGGCAACGUGCCGAGGAAAGUCCGGGCUUCACGAAGACAGGGUGCCGGGUAACGCCCGGCGAAAGCGAUUUCAGGGAAAGCGCCACAGAAAGCAAACCGCCAUAUCGUCUGAUAUGGUAAGGAUGAAAGGGUGCGGUAAGAGCGCACCGCCUUUGCAGCAAUGUGAAGGGCACGGCAAGCCCCACCCGAAGCAAGACCAAAUAGGGAUGACACAUGGCAUGUCUUUGCGCCGUCAUCCGGGUCGGUCGCGCGAGGUGUCUGGUAACAGGCAUCCCAGAGGAAUGAUCGUCGCCUUUGACGCUUGCGUCGAAGGAUACAGAACCCGGCUUACACGUCAUCUGGCCUU